RNAcentral lists this ribosomal RNA (496 nucleotides) under uncultured bacterium. RNAcentral describes it as "partial 16S ribosomal RNA". It matches the Rfam family "Bacterial small subunit ribosomal RNA", at positions 29 to 507 of the family's 1533-position model. The record is from RNAcentral.
AUGAACGCUGGCGGCGUGCCUAGUACAUGCAAGUCGAGCGAACGGACGAGAAGCUUGCUUUUCUGAUGUUAGCGGCGGACGGGUGAGUAACACGUGGAUAACCUACCUAUAAGACUGGGAUAACUUCGGGAAACCGGAGCUAAUACCGGAUAAUAUUUUGAACCGCAUGGUUCAUAAGUGAAAGACGGUCUUGCUGUCACUUAUAGAUGGAUCCGCGCUGCAUUAGCUAGUUGGUAAGGUAACGGCCUACCAAGGCAACGAUGCAUAGCCGACCUGAGAGGGUGAUCGGCCACACUGGAACUGAGACACGGUCCAGACUCCUACGGGAGGCAGCAGUAGGGAAUCUUCCGCAAUGGGCGAAAGCCUGACGGAGCAACGCCGCGUGAGUGAUGAAGGUCUUCGGAUCGUAAAACUCUGUUAUUAGGGAAGAACAUAUGUGUAAGUAACUGUGCACAUCUUGACGGUACCUAAUCAGAAAGCCACGGCUAACUACGUG